AUUGAGCGCUGGCGGCAGGCUUAACACAUGCAAGUCGAGCGGAGCGAGGGUGCUUGCACCUUAGCUUAGCGGCGGACGGGUGAGUAAUGCUUAGGAAUCUGCCUAUUAGUGGGGGACAACAUUCCGAAAGGAAUGCUAAUACCGCAUACGCCCUACGGGGGAAAGCAGGGGAUCUUCGGACCUUGCGCUAAUAGAUGAGCCUAAGUCGGAUUAGCUAGUUGGUGGGGUAAAGGCCUACCAAGGCGACGAUCUGUAGCGGGUCUGAGAGGAUGAACUGCAACACUGGGACUGAGACACGGCCCAGACUCCUACGGGAGGCAGCAGUGGGGAAUAUUGGAGAAGGGGCGGAAGCCUGAUCCAGCCAUGCCGCGUGUGUGAAGAAGGCCUUUUGGUUGUAAAGCACUUUAAGCGAGGAGGAGGCUACUUAGAUUAAUACUCUGGGAUAGUGGACGUUACUCGCAGAAUAAGCACCGGCUAACUCUGUGCCAGCCGCCGCCGUAA
Molecule: ribosomal RNA, 501 nt
Filed under: uncultured bacterium
Lineage: Bacteria
Description: partial 16S ribosomal RNA
Rfam family: Bacterial small subunit ribosomal RNA
Source: RNAcentral